AAAUUGAAGAGUUUGAUCAUGGCUCAGAUUGAACGCUGGCGGCAGGCCUAACACAUGCAAGUCGAACGGUAGCACAGAGAGCUUGCUCUCGGGUGACGAGUGGCGGACGGGUGAGUAAUGUCUGGGAAACUGCCUGAUGGAGGGGGAUAACUACUGGAAACGGUAGCUAAUACCGCAUAACGUCGCAAGACCAAAGA
This 197-nucleotide ribosomal RNA is filed under the name Enterobacter cloacae. RNAcentral's name for it is "partial 16S ribosomal RNA". It matches the Rfam family "Bacterial small subunit ribosomal RNA", at positions 1 to 207 of the family's 1533-position model. RNAcentral also lists the same sequence under 1 other name. Lineage: Bacteria; Pseudomonadati; Pseudomonadota; Gammaproteobacteria; Enterobacterales; Enterobacteriaceae. The record is from RNAcentral.